UUAUUUUUGACAACUUUUACUUAACUAUAUAACUGAUGAAAAUAAUAUAGUUUUUACUCCAUCCAUUUUCCCUGACACCCAAAAGUACUCAUUACAUUUUGAAUGCUAUUAAGGAAAGAAAAUGGUCCAAUUCACGUACGCACUUAUCAAGAGAACAUCCCUGGGCCUCUAUGUCACAUCCAAGAGGAAAUAGAGUGCUUGUGUUAGCAGAGACUGCUACAACUCAGCAAUGUUUGUGUGUACUCGCCAAAUGUUUACAUUUUAGCCGGAUUGCCGAGUUGCAGCAGUCUCUGGAAACACGUUAGUGAUCACGCAAGCACUCUUAUCUCCUCUUGGCUGUGACAUAGGCUAACCCUGACCCACUUUUUCUCCCAAAAUCUCUAUCCGUCAAACUGCAGUGCUACUCCAAUUUCCUCUGGUUGUCCCAAUGUCCAUUGGAGAAUGCUGCUGAUAGGCCAGACCAGGAAGGGAAAUCAGCAGUGACUAUUCGGAGGAAUAACCUGUUGUGGACCAUGCAAGUACUUUUUGGAAGCUAGCUGUUUAUGUUUUUCUUACAGUGGCUCACCCCCCGGGCUACCCACUACCCAGUCUUCACCCUGCUGGCCCACCUGGCUCUGUCCCUGCUGCCCUGCCUCUCCAUGUCUCUGGCCCACAGUGUCAACCUACUGAGCAGCCUGCCGGGGCCAGCCGGGCCCUCUGCUUCACUGUCUGCAGCCAAAGCUCAAGAGUUCUAAUACCAGGUCAAGCAACUCGGUUGCUCGGAAACUCAGAGGUGCUGCUUCACCAGGCUGCCAAUCAUAAGAAGUGUAUGAUAACAAACCUGGGCUACUGUAGAUAGCUAGCAAUAUGGUGGUUUUUAUUUUAAGCUGAGGUUUAUCAAUAAAUGCAAACAGAUCAUUUGAUUAGCUAGGUAGCUAUCUAGCUAAUGUUAGUGAGUGCAGCAGCUAGGCUCUGUAGCUAGCUAACACCAGUCAACUGAAAGCUAAUUAGCUAGAAAGGCAAAGAAAGGUAGCUAGCUAUAUUUGGUUAUUUAAGGUUUUUACACAAAUUCCUUCAGCCACUAGCUAGCUAGCUAGCUAGCUAGAGCCAGACAACAACAGCUGACCUCAACACAGAGGUUAGCUCACGUCCAAAUUCCAGUGCUACAUUUUUCCACAAAACAUAGCUAGCUAGUCUGCCUGACACAUUUCAUUGUCAGAAAGGACACAACUCAAACUGAGAAUUGCUAGCUAACUCCACAUGUAAACAGUGCCUUAGCUGUACACCACUGCAGUGUGCAAAUGCAUGCUUUUUAGCAUUUAAAAAAAUCACCAGUUUCUAGCAUCCAUAAUAAAUUCCAG
Molecule: long non-coding RNA, 1340 nt
Filed under: Oncorhynchus kisutch (coho salmon)
Lineage: Eukaryota; Metazoa; Chordata; Actinopteri; Salmoniformes; Salmonidae
Description: lncRNA (ENSOKIG00005006777.1)
Source: RNAcentral